This 767-nucleotide ribosomal RNA is filed under the name uncultured Gammaproteobacteria bacterium. RNAcentral describes it as "bacterial SSU rRNA". It matches the Rfam family "Bacterial small subunit ribosomal RNA", at positions 8 to 773 of the family's 1533-position model. The record is from RNAcentral. Lineage: Bacteria; Pseudomonadati; Pseudomonadota; Gammaproteobacteria.
AUAGUUUGAUUAUGGCUCAGAUUGAACGCUGGCGGCAGGCCUAACACAUGCAAGUCGAGCGAGAAAGGUCUUCGGGCUGAGUACAGCGGCGGACGGGUGAGUAACGCGUAGGAAUCUACCUGGUAGUGGGGGACAACAUGGUGAAAACCAUGCUAAUACCGCAUACGCCCUAUGGGGGAAAGCGGGGGAUCUUCGGACCUCGCGCUAUCGGAUGAGCCUGCGUUGGAUUAGCUUGUUGGUGAGGUAAAGGCUCACCAAGGCGACGAUCCAUAGCUGGUCUGAGAGGAUGAUCAGCCACACUGGGACUGAGACACGGCCCAGACUCCUACGGGAGGCAGCAGUGGGGAAUAUUGCGCAAUGGGCGAAAGCCUGACGCAGCCAUGCCGCGUGUGUGAAGAAGGCCUUAGGGUUGUAAAGCACUUUCAAUUGGGAAGAAAAGUUGCUGCCUAAUAAGCAGUAGCUGUGACAUUACCUUUAGAAGAAGCACCGGCUAACUCCGUGCCAGCAGCCGCGGUAAUACGGAGGGUGCGAGCGUUAAUCGGAAUUACUGGGCGUAAAGCGCGCGUAGGCGGUUUGUUAAGUCAGCUGUGAAAGCCCUGGGCUCAACCUGGGAACUGCAGUUGAUACUGACCGACUAGAGUACGAGAGAGGGAGGUAGAAUUCCACGUGUAGCGGUGAAAUGCGUAGAUAUGUGGAGGAAUACCGGUGGCGAAGGCGGCCUCCUGGCUCGAUACUGACGCUGAGGUGCGAAAGCGUGGGGAGCAAAC